GGACAGGUUCUCUAGGGUUCCGCAUCAAAUGGACUGGUCCGAGAGAGAACCCGCAAUCGAUUUCUGGUUGCGACACGGAGGGACAAAAGCCCGGGAGAU
RNAcentral lists this small RNA (99 nucleotides) under Pontibacillus halophilus. RNAcentral's name for it is "Guanidine-I sequence". It matches the Rfam family "Guanidine-I riboswitch aptamer". From Rfam's summary of the family: This family represents a conserved RNA structure found upstream of the ykkC and yxkD genes in Bacillus subtilis and related genes in other bacteria. The function of this family is unclear although it has been suggested that it may function to switch on efflux pumps and detoxification systems in response to harmful environmental molecules. RNAcentral also lists the same sequence under 1 other name. Lineage: Bacteria; Bacillati; Bacillota; Bacilli; Caryophanales; Bacillaceae. The record is from RNAcentral.